GCUGCCCACGGGCCUCUUUCUGAGGGAACGGAGGCUCCGAGCGACACCCCGGCCCUUCGAGAACUCGCAGGCUGACCUUGCUCCGAGUUGCUCAGCCGCUCCCCGCCGUCGGGACAGGCUUAAGGGAACUUCGUCCGCCGGCGCCAAGGAGGCGCCAGACCGAAGAAUCGAACGGGGCCCGGGCGGAGCAGGAGCACCACGGCCGCCGGCUCUCUCCGCAUCGGAAGGGCCGCUCCGUCCCGCCGCCCGCGCGAGCCUCUCGGGGUAGGCCCCGCCAGGCCGGGAGCAGUUGGCGCGCCUCCGUCUCCGUAGCAACGCGGACCCCCGCCCCCCUUCCCAGAGGCGAGCCACAGCCCCACCCGCUGGGAGGCAGACGAAAGAGAUGGGGGGGAGAGAACGAACACGUCCCGGUGCCUCCGGCCCCACUGGCCACUCUGCCCGGUCCAGCCAGCUCGACCCUGAGGAAAGCGGCUCCGCCCUCUUCCGGCUGACUUCCCGCGAGAGAACCUCGGUGGGAGCGUGCCGCGUCUCCGCAGAGUCGUUCAGCGGAGGUAAGAAGGGGCCAAUCGCGGUGCAGCGCAGGAAGCCGUGGCCAAUCGCAGAGCGGCAAGGGCGGGGCCUAUUCUCUCCAGAGACAGAAAUCGUUCGGCCUGGAGCGGUGUUGGCGGUCAGUGUUGGCGGUUUCUUGCGAGGUCCACAGGUCUUAAAGUAGCCAAGGUUGGAGAUGCCUGUUCUGAGCCAAGUUGGCAACUUCAGCGCCUGCAGCUGGUCAGGGGAAUCCUGGGAGUUGAAGUCCACGUGCCUUAAAAGUUGCCCGAAUCGAGAAACACUGUACCUGGUUUAAUUCAGGCAGGUUCCACUCACCAGAGCGUAAUCCUGGAUGGCAUAACCUCUCAUGUCAAUCAGAAUAACACUUGGAAGGGGCCUUUGAGGUCUUCUAGUCAACCCCCCUGCUUAGGCAGGAGACCCAUACCGUUCCUCGGUGGUUAGAGUGCUGUACUGCAGGCCACUUCUGCUGACUGUUGGCUGCCUGCAAUUUGGCAACUCGAAUCUCCCCAGGCUCAAGGCCUUCAGUCCUUCCGAGGUGAGUAAAAUGAGGACCCAAAACUCUUGGAGGGCAACAGGCUGACUCUGUAAACUGCAUCGAGAUGCACUGUGUAAAUGCACUGUGAAGCGGUAUAUAAGUCUCGGGGCUAUUGCUAUUCCAGACAAGUGGCUGUCCGGUCUCUUCAUGAAAGGUGCCAAUGAUGGGGCACCCACAACUUCUGGAGGGAAGCCGCCAUUCUAACUGUUCAUUGUUCUGCCAGGAAAUUUCUCCUUAAUUCCAGGUUGCUUCUUGUCUUGCCCUUAGGUAUUUUGGAGAAUAGCUUGACCCCUCCUCUUUUUUGUGACACCCCCUCAAAUAUUGGAAGACUGCUUUCAUGUCAACCCGUCUCUUUUCACAAGACCAGACCUUUCCUGCAGCCGUUCUUCAUAGUUUUGUCCUCCAAUCUCCUAAUUAUCUUUGUUGCUCUUUUCUGCGCUCUUUCCAGAGUCUCAACAUCUUUUUUGUGUGGCAACCAAAACUGGGUACAGUAUUCCAAGUGUGGCCUUACCAGGGCCUUAUAAAGUGGUACGAAUGCAGCCUAGGACUGUAUUGACUUUUUUGGCAACUGCAGCAUACUGCUGGCUCCUUAAAUUGUGCACUGGGACUGAUCUUUCCCACAGUUACUACUAUUGAGCCAUGUACCACCUAUUCUAUACCUGUGCAUUUGGUUUUUCUUGUUUAAAUAGAGAACCUUGCUUUUCUCACCAUUAAAAUUCAUUUUGUUGGAUAGGGCCCAGUGUUCAAGUCUGUCAAGAUCCUUCUGAGCCUAUCUUCUAGAGUGUUGGCUAUUCCUGCCAACCUGGUAUCAUCUGCAACUUUUGUUCUCACAGUCAGGAAAUGCCUCCUUAGUUCUAGGUUGGAUUUCUGUUUUAUGAUUUUCCGUUGGUUACAACAAUACAGAAAUUAACUAUCACAGCUAAAAGAGAUUAAACUAUAGAGGUGUAAAUAUAGGAACCUUGCUGAAAUAGAGACAUAUUUGCAGUCCAUUCCAAGGGGACAAGGGCUUUAAUAAAUUGUAGGACAAAAAUGAUUGUCAUCCGUUAUGAUUGCAGUUCUUAA
This is a long non-coding RNA of Laticauda laticaudata (blue-ringed sea krait), 2146 nucleotides long. The record is from Ensembl. Lineage: Eukaryota; Metazoa; Chordata; Lepidosauria; Squamata; Elapidae.